Long non-coding RNA from Esox lucius (northern pike), 1125 nucleotides. Lineage: Eukaryota; Metazoa; Chordata; Actinopteri; Esociformes; Esocidae. The record is from Ensembl.
AUUUUCUAUUGUUAUUUUAUUUCAAAUCAUAUUGGAUAAUUAAAGUAGUGUCCAUUUAUAUUCCAUUGUUUAUCUGCUCAUUUAAAUAUAAAUGUAUCAUUUCUACAGGUCAUACGAGUAUUGAUCUAUGUUCACACUGCAUUUACAGUUGGACUUGCGCUUUUAGCCAAAUGUGUGAUCAGUCUGACAAAAACAUUUUACACUUACUCAAAUCAAGUAUACUGAAGGGCUCUUCCAUUAACUCAGUUUACUACAUUUCACCUUGUCUUGCCAUGUUUGAGUCCUAAAACCCAUAUCUUUUCAUACCACUUACAGCACUGGUCAGAUAUAGUGUUUUCCAUCACUGAUCUGAAGAGGAUAUGUAAUGUUUCUGUGGCUGUGCUGUGACUCAGAUGAUCACAGGGAUCAUGGUUAAGAUGCAGGUGGUAUAGCAAUAAGGACGAUGAAAAUAAUGCUCAUUCUAAUUAUGAUUUAGGAUUUUAAAACUCUAAAGUUCUAAAGAAUCUCUGUCUUCCAAAUGUUUAACAUGAAAAAGGUAUUUUCUUUCUUUAACUGAGGUGCUUGCUAUACAGCUCAGUCCAUGGAAGGCUUCUGUUACGUAUGCUCAUCAGUCAUCACCUCCUUGCAGCUUUUUCAUUUUUAAUGGUUGUAUGCAGAUUUACAAAGUAAACCAGUACUCAGUAGUGUUCAUCUGAUUUACCCUCCCUCACUGCAUCACAAUCUUAGAAUCAGCAAGCUAGUGGUGACAACUAUUCCAUCUGCUACAAUUUGAGCUAGUCUAGCUUAACACAAAGCCUCCUGACUUCAGUGUGUCAUUGCAGUGAUUUGUCAGGCAAAAAUGUAACAGCGAGACAAACUUGUUUUGCAGAGUAUGUUUUUGCGCCACCAUCUCAAAGCCUAUGAUUGAAAAGUGUAUAAUUACUCUGUCGGAACAGAGGGAUCUGGCUGUAUAGAAAGCACCGUCUUGUUUCCUUUAAGAGUCUUUAUAAGUGAUAACUAUGAACAGAUGAAAGAAUUUACAGAAUAUAUAUGUGAAACGCAUACAUUCAUAUUAACAUAUAUGAAUUUGAAAUGUUUUAAGAGAUUAAUAAUACGUUACUAGAAUUAUAAAGAUGAAGAAAUAGC